This 1360-nucleotide long non-coding RNA is filed under the name Gallus gallus (chicken). RNAcentral describes it as "long non-coding RNA NONGGAT005359". The record is from RNAcentral. Lineage: Eukaryota; Metazoa; Chordata; Aves; Galliformes; Phasianidae.
AGCGCCGCGGCGAGGGGCAGCCAAGAUGGCGGCCGGGGGGGGCCGGUGGACGCGGUGCUGUCCGAUCCCCGUUCCCGCGCUCAACGUCGCCACCCCCCACUCGGAGGCAUGAGAACAUCAAAACUACAUGACAGCAUCACCUGGCACCAGUUAGCGCGGCUCUCCCAGAGAGCAUGUAAGCCUCGUCCCUGCUGCUCUGCACCCAGACAACACUGUCAGACAAAUGAUGGGAUUAAUGAGAGUCCAUAUUAUUUUCUAGUGUGAUACUUCGGGUCCAGAUGGCCUCCGGGCAUGCAGAGGUUUGACAGGGAGGAAGGUCAGAGAGAGGGACAAAGAGGAAUGAAUGAGGAAGGAGUUCUGCUUGCAACUGAGAUAAGUGGUGAGAUAGGAGCUCCAGAGUCUCGUACACUUACAUAGCAUGUACUUGUGCAUGUGCACUUCCCACUCACAGUCAUACAGAGUAUUGCAUAAUAUUGGCAUCUGAAUGUAUAGAAUUAUAAACAGAAUAUAGAAUUGUUUUCAAAGACAUUUUCCCUCUGUUACAACUAUAGGACCUUUUGCCUUUCAACAUAUGUUAAGUGUGGAAUAUGAGAGCAGCCAAGCAGUCUGUGACAACUUUGUUUUGCAAAGUACUCAAAUUGGACCAGAAUGUGAAGCUUUAAGAACAUGGGAAAACAUUUCACGUAAUGCAGAACAGUAAUGUUAUAACAGAUCUUAUAUUUCAGAACCUCUCGGUACUCGUUUCUGUGUUUAUUUAAAGAAACUACUGUUAACACAUCAGAACUCAAGGAUAUUAAAUAUAUUUUAUUUUCUGCAUGAGAUCAGAAAUAAAUAAAGCAUAUCAUUUGACAUAAAAUCCCAGCUCACCCCCAAAGUACAUCUGUGCAAAAGCACAAUCCUAUCCAUAAAGCACAACAACAAAAAUCUAUAAAAUAGACAUUGCAGUAAAUGAGUUGACUGUUGAGGAGACAGUUUCACAGUAAGUAAAAUUUCAGUUACUGCAACGAGCAGUUUGACUGCCUAAUUUUUCCCUCUUUAUGUGAGAACAUAGUUUGAAAUUUAUCAGAAGGUUUUAGUGUGCAUUUUUUUCCCCCAGCAUUUUGGUACUCUUUUAGUAUGACAGACUUGUGCAAGUUCUUUUAUUUUGACCUCAGUUUUGAAGCUCUUUAUACUUAGAUUUGCACUGAAAUGGGCUUAUUAUAAUCACGUUAGGUUCCAGUCUUGCAAAGAUUUGCAUACAUGCUUAAUGUCAACUGUCUGAAUAGUCCUAUUAAGUUCAGUAGGGUGACUCUUGCACAACAUGAAGUAUGCACAGACAUCUUGGAAGAUUGAGGGCCAUAUGUUAGAGCAUAAAAACAAG